RNAcentral lists this long non-coding RNA (3053 nucleotides) under Gallus gallus (chicken). RNAcentral describes it as "lncRNA (ENSGALG00010008944.1)". The record is from RNAcentral. Lineage: Eukaryota; Metazoa; Chordata; Aves; Galliformes; Phasianidae.
CAGCCAUGUGCUCGCGUAUCAUUUUACUCUGAAAUAACUCUGCGGAUUUCAGCUCAACCUGCCUUUGCUUAUAAUGCAUGACAUAGCCUGUGAGGGAGCCUGAGAACCGUCCCUCUUCAAAAGCAAGGUUCCCAUGCUUGGCCUGUAACCAUGGAAGCAGAUGCCUUUUUUGCUUACCCCUGCUUACCUCUUUGCAGCCACGAGCUGCUCCCUAUUGUUAAAAGGGGUACGCCUUGAUUUUUCUUCGUCGUGACCGAACUUGCCUCUUCUUCAAAGGGCAUGAUGCUGCAGGUCAUUGGUCUAGACUGUUUGCACGGUCCAGAGAACAGCCUUGAUGUAACCCUUGCUCCGUCUGUGCCACACCACCAGCCGCGCGACUGCAGACUGUAGGGGGACAUCGGAGAUCUGUAUUUGAAAAGAAGUCCGUCCGAUUUUGCCAUUGUGCCUUUUCAGUCAUCGAUCGAAUGAAUAUCGAACCUUCUGUCGUUGCAUGUGUGAAAUAGAUAGCUUAGCAAGCACUUUUGUGCCCAGACCUGUGCAGUGGGCCAAACUCUUCUCCUUUAUUCACAAAUAUUUUUUUUUGCAAUAUAGUAAUUUCUUAGGUACUUUAAAUACCAGCAUCCUAACGUUGGACCAGCCUCAGAAAAGAGCUUUGUUUUUUAUUCUUUUUUGCUGUAAUCUGCUUGAUGGAGCCGCUACUUAUUUGGGGUUUUAUUUUUCUUUUAAGUUCUUUCUCUUUUACCCAUUCCCAGUUGAACAUCAGCCCCCCUAGAAGUGCAAAGGAGGUUGGUUUUGCCCCAGAAUUGUGAGAGUUUUCAAAGCAAAAUACUGAUUGGAGGUUUGAGGCUUUAAAAAUAACAGAGGGAAAGAAAAAAGAAGAAGGAGGGGGGGGGGGGGGACGACUUGGAAAGCUUCCAACAUAUAUCCAAUAUGUAAGAAAUCCAGAAGAUACGGUAAAUUUUAAAAAGAUUAUAAAUAAAAUAAGUAGCUGUAAGAAAAGACAGGCAUUAUAAUAGAUAAAUGACCUGGAAGCAGUGGCUUAAAACCUAAAAGAAUCACAUCUUAUUUCUUUCCUAGAUAUACUAAUAUACUGGAUGUACUCCAUAUAUUACUAUACUAAGACAAGUAACUUGGAAAAUUAAGAUCUGAUAGUAUGAGAACUCUAAAACACUUCUCACUCUUCUGUACUAUUGUACAAAUAUUUUAAGUAGUGACAUGCCAGCUUACUUUCUUUUUUUUUAUUUUUAAGGGCUAAUUUAAUUUUAAAAAAAUUGUAUCGAUAGACGUCCAAAACCCAACAAGAAAUUCUGAAAAUCUUGCUAAGUCAGUGAGAAAAUGCAGCUGAAGUGCUCAACCAAAGAGUUCAACAGGACUCCAGGAACUGCAGGGUUGGGGGAGAUGCUCUAAUACCUUAGAACAGAAGAGCCAGAAAUGUAUGGAAAAUGAUACAUUCUUGAAAUCAAUCGGUAAGCAAGUUUUUCCUCUUCUUUUAAUAGAACGGCAAACUCUCUGACCGCUGCCUGUCAAAAAACAAUAACCCAGUGACAGCCAUCAGCACCUACUCAUUGAAAAAUAUGCCCGUCUCUACUCUGUUCUAAUAAAAUGCGGAUUGCAUCAAAAAGGGAAUAUUCUUCAGGGUGUUGCUUACCCAGUGUUGUCUGUAUAUGACAUCAGUAUAUAUAUUUUUGAGAUACUACUAUCUCGUACUUCAAGGCAUACCUAUUUUCUCUAAUUGCCAGAGGCUAAGGGGAGGUGCACUAAAGAAUAAAGAAGGUUAUUGUGACAGAUGAAACAUAAUUCACAAUGAGUACUCUUUUCAUCCAGCCUUAAGUAGCAGAGGAUUACUCCGAGCUGAAUUUUAGGGGAGUAUGUAUGAUCUGAUUUAAUAAUAUGAGGACAGGCCACAAGCUGGAAGGCAAUAUAAACCAAUUAUGCUUUUGCUGAAUGUUUGGGGGGUUUUGUUGUUGUUUUUGGUGUUUUUUUUCCCUCUUCUUUUCUGGAAGGUGAAGAAAUGUUAACGUGAAGAGUGUCUGAAGAAACACGAGGAAAAGUAAGAAGUGCCGAGAAAUAAAAGUUGGGAUUUUCUGGAAUGGAUAUUGAUAAAUGAUUAUUCUAUAUUUCUGCUUCAUGACACUUAAAUGAAAUAAGACCAUGCAAUUUCUUCAGUAAACAUGCGCUGUGAAAACAUGAGUCUCCUGCCCUUGGAAGAAGAAAGUGGGAAGCAGCAAAAAGAGACUGUGUGUAGGCAGAGGAGAAGCAGACAAAAUGAGUCAGGCUGCCAGACUGCCAAGACCUUCUUGGAACAAAUGAUGAGGAAACCUGCACUAAGAACAGUAGAAGAAAGCUAUUAGAAGGUUAAAACACACCCAGAACCUAAGUAUUAUGAAUUUAUGGCAAUUGGUGCAACUCUGAAGUGAGAAAGGUGCUGCUGACAGGCUAUUAUAGAGGGCAAACUGGGGCAGAAGACAAAGAAAGGUCUCUUGAAACAUGGUAUUAAAAAGGAGCAGGCACUGAAGUUGGUGUAGGUGCAGAUUUUAAAACAUCCAAAUUUACAGUGGGUUGCCAGUGGCCUAUGUUACCAUUUGGUGAUCUCCAACAAAGACCAAGAACAAAGACAAGAGGGUACAAAUACAACCAGUGCAAGCCAAACCCAGAAGAAAACGGGGGGUGGCCACCUCUCACAGAGGUGGAAUCAUAUUGACCAGCAUCCUGCCUCUUCAAGUAGAAGCACUUUGCACACUUACCUCUAUAUAUACAUAUAAGAUAAUAUAUACAUAAAAGAUUAAGGGUAUGUCUGUCAUUUAACUAGCUAUACAACCUGCUGAAACAAAGAUAUUCAAGCUGCAAAACCCAAGGAUGUAAGUCCAAAUUGUGGUUAUGGUCAGAAAGCAACCUAGUCCACAAAUUACUUCAUGAAAAAGAGCUGCUAAAACUGAACUAAGUUUUUUGCUGUUGUCAGAGGAUAGCCCACUGCUGAGACAGCCUUCAGAAUGCUGCUGCACUUCUGCUAUAAUGGAUUUUAAGUUUAUGAUGCACUCUCAAAAUCAUUUCAG